Molecule: ribosomal RNA, 320 nt
Filed under: uncultured eukaryote
Lineage: Eukaryota
Description: partial 18S ribosomal RNA
Rfam family: Eukaryotic small subunit ribosomal RNA
Source: RNAcentral
CCCCUAGAUGUUCUGGGCCGCACGCGCGCUACACUGAACAGUUCAACAAGUCUUAACCUUGGCCGAUAGGUCUGGGUAAUCUUUGAACGCUGUUCGUGAUUGGGAUAGACCUUUGCAAUUAUGGGUCUUCAACGAGGAAUUCCUAGUAAACGCAAGUCAUCAGCUUGCAUUGAUUACGUCCCUGCCCUUUGUACACACCGCCCGUCGCACCUACCGAUUGAAUGGUCCGGUGAAAUCUCGGGACGGCGGCUCGGUCGCUUGCGUCCGACUGCUGAAACUUGAUUAAACCAUAUCAUUUAGAGGAAGGUGAAGUCGUAACA